GAUGAACGCUAGCGGCAGGCCUAACACAUGCAAGUCGAGGGGUAUUAGGAGCUUGCUCCUAAGAGACCGGCGCACGGGUGCGUAACGCGUAUGCAAUCUACCUUGUACAGGGGAAUAGCCCAGAGAAAUUUGGAUUAAUGCCCCAUAGUAUAAUUGAAUCGCAUGGUUUAAUUAUUAAAGUUCCAACGGUACAAGAUGAGCAUGCGUCCCAUUAGUUAGUUGGUAAGGUAACGGCUUACCAAGCCGACGAUCUGUAGCUGGUCUGAGAGGACGACCAGCCACACUGGGACUGAGACACGGCCCAGACUCCUACGGGAGGCAGCAGUGGGGAAUUUUGGACAAUGGGCGAAAGCCUGAUCCAGCCAUGCCGCGUGCAGGAUGAAGGCCUUCGGGUUGUAAACUGCUUUUGUACGGAACGAAAAGACUCUGGUUAAUACCUGGAGUCCAUGACGGUACCGUAAGAAUAAGCACCGGCUAACUACGUG
RNAcentral lists this ribosomal RNA (485 nucleotides) under uncultured bacterium. RNAcentral describes it as "bacterial SSU rRNA". It matches the Rfam family "Bacterial small subunit ribosomal RNA", at positions 28 to 507 of the family's 1533-position model. The record is from RNAcentral.